AGGUGCUACAAAAGCUUAAAUAUGAGCUAAAACAUUGUAAAGACGAGUUGGAUUCAGCUGAAGGAACUAUUGAAACCUUGACAGCUGAAAGAUUUUAGAACAAAAGCUAUAUGUGCUUGAGAAGAAGAGUGCUGAAGAGAUGAGUUUGAUUCUUAAUCUCACAUUUAAAAUGGAAGAUGGAAAUGUUUGUAGAUGAGUUUUUAUUGUAGCUGUUGGCAAUUGAAGGAGUUGAAGGUAAUGGGAGAAAAGGAUAAUGAAGCUCAUGAAAAUAACUCAUGUUUUAUAUCGAUUAUGUUUUUUUUGGUUGUGCUGGUGUUAUUAAAUUUAAACUGGCUGUAUUAAAUUUGAGCAAACAUUUAUACACUAAAAAAACUUUGAUUUUUAUGGUU
Molecule: long non-coding RNA, 389 nt
Organism: Vicia villosa (hairy vetch)
Lineage: Eukaryota; Viridiplantae; Streptophyta; Magnoliopsida; Fabales; Fabaceae
Exons: 3
Source: RefSeq, a predicted model, not a curated record